GCUUCCGUGGCUCAGGGGUAGAGCAGCUCACUCGUAAUGAGCAGGUCAUCGGUUCAAAUCCGAUCGGAAGCUCCA
Molecule: transfer RNA, 75 nt
Filed under: Bacillota bacterium
Lineage: Bacteria; Bacillati; Bacillota
Also listed under: 1 other name
Description: tRNA-Thr
Rfam family: tRNA
About the family: Transfer RNA (tRNA) molecules are approximately 80 nucleotides in length. Their secondary structure includes four short double-helical elements and three loops (D, anti-codon, and T loops).
Source: RNAcentral